CGUUGGCUGUCAGCUGACUGUUUUGACAACAUUUUCAAAACCUUAUACAUUCCCGGCUAGUAUCCACAGAGGAUCAAGAAAAAUAGUAUACGUACAAAGUCGAAGUUCCGCCAGAGAAGUUGAUGCCCUAGGCAAAGCCGAGGGCUUCAUGUACGCAGUGGCGAAUAAAAUGCUAUUUAGAUUUUUAUUUAUGAACUGAAAAUAUAUGGAAUGCUAUUUGUUUUUAUUAA
This is a long non-coding RNA of Dendroctonus ponderosae (mountain pine beetle), 230 nucleotides long. RefSeq lists it as uncharacterized. NCBI's taxonomy places the organism in Eukaryota, Metazoa, Arthropoda, Insecta, Coleoptera, Curculionidae. The record is from RefSeq and is a predicted model, not a curated record. The transcript is spliced from 2 exons.